GGCAUCCGAGCUGAGGCGUCUCUGCUCUGUAAACAAACUCAGCGAUCCUCGUCCCCAGAUCCACCUUUUUGCACAUACACAGUUACUUGCUUCUGCUGUUGCCCUGGAUCCGGGAGGUGGGGGUGUGUACAAACUUGCAGAGCCUCCCUCCGGGCUCUGCCUGACGGUUUGGGGUUGAUUUAGAAGCAAACGGGUUUGUAAUUAAGAAAUUUGAGGGCUGAGUAAGGCUGCUCUUGCUGGAAAAGGAAAACAAAUAGAUAACGUGGUAAUCGCUUUGUAAAUAAAGUCGUUCUGGAGGUGGGCACGUAGCUGCACGUCCCGUAUGGCACCACGCGCACACACACGGCUGGGACUCUUCCUUUUCAGUGAAAUUGUUCAGUGGGGCAAUGGGCGAUAAUAAUAACCUUGCUUCCACAACGCGGCACAACGAGCCUGGUCGCCCGUUUGGUUCAUUGACUUGCAAAUAAAACCCCUAACACAGGUCUGGGCUACUACCAAGUCGGAGCUCUCUGGCUUUCUCACAUGGGGAAGCCGAGUUGUUUCCCCAACACCAUGAUGGGGCUGUUCUGAGCUUUUACAUUGCUCUUUAUGUGGUAAAAUCGAGUUUAGCGCUCCGAAUAAGGACUUCUGGGCAGUUGUUUCUUCAUAACUCGAUAGCCAUUGAAGACUUCCUGCUGCGAAGAGCGAGUCCGCCUCCCCGCCCCCCCCUCGUCUUUUUCCCCCUUCUUGCACACAAGACUUUUAAAGGCCCUGUUUCUUGAGGACUGGAAAUUCUGAUACAUUUCCCCGUUCAGGAAUUUGCAAAAGAGACCCAAUCCUGAUUAUUUUCGUCUAUGACCCCUCUGUCUUUUCCUAGUCAGGCAUAUUUUUGUAAAUGUUGUUACUUUGUGUCUUGUCUUCUUUCCUCUUCCAGGCUCUCCGGCAAACCGUGCAGGCAAAUAAUUUUUAAACCUCAAAAAUAUUUACUUUUUAGAGAUACGGGCACAUGACACAUUGCAUUGUUAGUUGCAACAAUUCCCUAUUCUCCUAACCUCCCACCACCUUUACCUGUAGGUCAGGACAUGCAGUUUACCGUAUCAGAGGCUUGGAUACCUGAAGGGGCCACUUCCUAUAAAAAAACAGAUUCUAAAAUAUUGGUAAAACCCAACCUGAAAAAUCGCGGGAUUGUUUACUUUCCCUUCUUUGUACUGCAAGUGUCUUUCGACACAAGAAACAGCUUUUGAAUGUCUAAUCUAAAUUCCUCUUGCAACCACUAAGGAAAGGUGGAGCUCCAUCCAGCUCCAGUGGUUCUACCUACUAUUGGGAAAUCCCUGGAAAGGUCACCUGCCCAUCCCCCAUCCCUUAAAGGAGAACAAAAUAGUUCUGGGACCAGCUGGUUGGAACAUGGCAUGCUUUGUUCAUUUAUUCUCAUCCGUCCACUGAAUGUCCUCCAAGUGCCAAGUGCUUUCUUGGUGCCUGGAGAUACAAACAAGAUAGGAACUCAUGGUCACAGGGAGAAAACUGACAAACAGGCCUUGAACACACUGUGAUAAAUGCCACAAAGGCAUUGAAGGAAAGGGCUUUGGAGAGCACAUAGGAGGGACACCUACCCCCCUCCUGGGUGCUUUGGGAAGGCUUUCCGGUGGAGAUGGUGACUA
Molecule: long non-coding RNA, 1637 nt
Filed under: Homo sapiens (human)
Lineage: Eukaryota; Metazoa; Chordata; Mammalia; Primates; Hominidae
Description: non-protein coding lnc-HECA-11:1
Source: RNAcentral